AUUCGAAAACAAGAUCCACUAAAACAAGGAUUGAAAC
This 37-nucleotide non-coding RNA is filed under the name Methanosarcina acetivorans C2A. Lineage: Archaea; Methanobacteriati; Methanobacteriota; Methanomicrobia; Methanosarcinales; Methanosarcinaceae. The record is from RNAcentral.